Molecule: ribosomal RNA, 492 nt
Filed under: uncultured bacterium
Lineage: Bacteria
Description: partial 16S ribosomal RNA
Rfam family: Bacterial small subunit ribosomal RNA
Source: RNAcentral
AGUGAACGCUGGCGGUAGGCCUAACACAUGCAAGUCGAACGGCAGCACAGUAAGAGCUUGCUCUUACGGGUGGCGAGUGGCGGACGGGUGAGGAAUACAUCGGAAUCUACUUUUUCGUGGGGGAUAACGUAGGGAAACUUACGCUAAUACCGCAUACGACCUACGGGUGAAAGCAGGGGAUCUUCGGACCUUGCGCGAUUGAAUGCGCCGAUGUCGGAUUAGCUAGUUGGCGGGGUAAAGGCCCACCAAGGCGACGAUCCGUAGCUGGUCUGAGAGGAUGAUCAGCCACACUGGAACUGAGACACGGUCAAGACUCCUACGGGAGGCAGCAGUGGGGAAUAUUGGACAAUGGGCGCAAGCCUGAUCCAGCCAUACCGCGUGGGUGAAGAAGGCCUUCGGGUUGUAAAGCCCUUUUGUUGGGAAAGAAAAGCAGCAGGUUAAUACCCCGCUGUUCUGACGGUACCCAAAGAAUAAGCACCGGCUAACUUCGUG